UGCAGUCGAACGGUAACAGGUCUUCGGACGCUGACGAGUGGCGAACGGGUGAGUAAUACAUCGGAACGUGCCCAGUCGUGGGGGAUAACUACUCGAAAGAGUAGCUAAUACCGCAUACGAUCUGAGGAUGAAAGCGGGGGACCUUCGGGCCUCGCGCGAUUGGAGCGGCCGAUGGCAGAUUAGGUAGUUGGUGGGAUAAAAGCUUACCAAGCCGACGAUCUGUAGCUGGUCUGAGAGGACGACCAGCCACACUGGGACUGAGACACGGCCCAGACUCCUACGGGAGGCAGCAGUGGGGAAUUUUGGACAAUGGGCGAAAGCCUGAUCCAGCAAUGCCGCGUGCAGGAUGAAGGCCUUCGGGUUGUAAACUGCUUUUGUACGGAACGAAAAAGCUCCUUCUAAUACAGGGGGCCCAUGACGGUACCGUAAGAAUAAGCACCGGCUAACUACGUGCCAGCAGCCGCGGUAAUACGUAGGGUGCGAGCGUUAAUCGGAAUUACUGGGCGUAAAGCGUGCGCAGGCGGUUAUGUAAGACAGAUGUGAAAUCCCGGGCUCAACCUGGGAACUGCAUUUGUGACUG
RNAcentral lists this ribosomal RNA (580 nucleotides) under uncultured beta proteobacterium. RNAcentral's name for it is "bacterial SSU rRNA". It matches the Rfam family "Bacterial small subunit ribosomal RNA", at positions 56 to 635 of the family's 1533-position model. The record is from RNAcentral. Lineage: Bacteria; Pseudomonadati; Pseudomonadota; Betaproteobacteria.